Molecule: transfer-messenger RNA, 402 nt
Filed under: Gammaproteobacteria (g-proteobacteria)
Lineage: Bacteria; Pseudomonadati; Pseudomonadota
Also listed under: 2 other names
Description: UBA12402 sp001801305 Standard tmRNA
Rfam family: transfer-messenger RNA
About the family: Bacterial tmRNA, also known as 10Sa RNA or SsrA, is named for its dual tRNA and mRNA-like properties. Its role is to liberate the mRNA from a stalled ribosome.
Source: RNAcentral
GGGGGCGACCGGCUUCGACGUGGGUUGCAAAACUUGAGGAGCAUGCCGAGGAUGUAGCUUCCCUCGUAAAUCACGCUGCAAAACAAUAGUCGCAAACGACGAAAUCUACGCUGGUGACUUAGCGAAGGCUGCCUAAUCGGUAGUUGAGCUUAGUUGCGCGCCGUCCUAAGAAAACGGCACAGUCCAUGCUUCGAGCGUGCUUAUGCGUUUGAAUGCCAUGGUUAUAUACCAUAAGCUUCCGAUGAAAGAUGGUUGGGCUUUCAUUGCAGACUUAACUAACCUAACUCACUUGUAACGCCUGUCGGUCGGCGGCAAGUGAGCGAAAUUAAUGACACGACUACGCAUGUAGAACCAAGAGCGGAGAGCUUGCGGACGCGGGUUCAAUUCCCGCCGCCUCCACCA